RNAcentral lists this ribosomal RNA (253 nucleotides) under uncultured bacterium. Its description in RNAcentral is "partial 16S ribosomal RNA". It matches the Rfam family "Bacterial small subunit ribosomal RNA", at positions 524 to 776 of the family's 1533-position model. The record is from RNAcentral.
AACGUAGGAGACAAACGUUAUCCGGAGUUACUGGGCGUAAAGGGCGUGUAGGUGGUUUUGUAAGUCUGGCGUGAAAUUUUUCGGCUUAACCGGGAAAGGUCGUCGGAUACUGCAGAACUAGAGGACGGUAGAGGCGUGUGGAAUUCCGGGUGUAGUGGUGAAAUGCGUAGAGAUCCGGAGGAACACCAGUGGCGAAGGCGGUCUGCUGGGCAGUUUCUGACACUGAUGCGCGACAGCGUGGGGAGCAAACAGG